This 602-nucleotide ribosomal RNA is filed under the name uncultured eukaryote. RNAcentral's name for it is "bacterial SSU rRNA". It matches the Rfam family "Eukaryotic small subunit ribosomal RNA", at positions 336 to 932 of the family's 1831-position model. The record is from RNAcentral.
GAGGCCCGCCGGCGGUAACGACGGGUAACGGGGAAUCAGGGUUCGAUUCCGGAGAGGGAGCCCGAGAAACGGCUACCACUUCCAAGGAAGGCAGCAGGCGCGCAACUUACCCUAAUCUCGAUUCGAGGAGGUAGUGACAAGAAAUACCGAUGCGGGACCCUACGGGUGCCGCGUUCGGAAUGAGUACGAUUCGAACCACCUAACGAGGAACGAUCGGAGGGCAAGUCUGGUGCCAGCAGCCGCGGUAAUUCCAGCUCCAAUAGCGUACGUUAAAGUUGCUGCAGUUAAAAAGCUCGUAGUUGAACGUUCGGGUUCCGCGGGACGGGGCCGCCCCGCGAGGGACGGCGCCGCCCCGGGGCUCGUGAUAUCUUAUCUCGCCGCCCGUCGCGAGGCGGACGGAGGGGAUGGGAUGAGGUUACCUGGAAAAAAAUCGGGGCGAUCUAGGCGGGCGAACCUCGCCAACGAACGAUCGGACAUGGGAUAACGGAAGAGGGCGUCGGCUCGACUUCGUCGGUUCCUCGGGCCGAGGCACGUACGGUGAAUAGGGACGGUCGGGGCCGCCCGUACCGGGUCGUGAGAGGUGAAAUUCUAGGAUCGACCCC